RNAcentral lists this long non-coding RNA (394 nucleotides) under Linum usitatissimum (flax). RNAcentral's name for it is "long non-coding RNA (LUSI_LNC005634)". Lineage: Eukaryota; Viridiplantae; Streptophyta; Magnoliopsida; Malpighiales; Linaceae. The record is from RNAcentral.
AAUUUUUAAGGGUGGCCGGCUAGUGUUUUUGUCUCAUAACUAAAUUCUUUUUACGCAAAAUCGUCAAUUGGACCUGAACUUGAAAGCAAACUUACAUGAGCAUUAAUAAGUUUAAAUAGGAGGUCCUGACAUGGUUUUACAAGGAGUUGCGGUCCUCGUCAAGUGAAUGAAUAACCAAAUUUCGAACUCUUCUAACGAAUUAAUCCUAAACAAAUAUGUAGACUAAACUCAAAAAAAUAAAAAACUCAGGUACUAGCAAAUAAAAAAAAACUAAAUUGGACCAACUCGCCUACAUGACCGACCACAAAAGACCACACAACUGACCAGAGCUUUGAAACAAAAAUCGAGAAAUUGAAACAAUGAACCAAAACACAGUCGACGACUUUAAUCUGCG